GACGAACGCUGGCGGCGUGCUUAACACAUGCAAGUCGAACGAAGUGGCGAACGGGUGAGUAACGCGUAAUCAACCUGCCCUUCAGAGGGGGACAACAGUUGGAAACGACUGCUAAUACCGCAUACUGAAGGAGGGGAUUGCGUCGGGUUAGCUAGUUGGAGGGGUAACGGCCCACCAAGGCGAUGAUCAGUAGCCGGGCUGGGAGGAUGGACCGCCAAAAUGGGACUUGGGCACGGCCCAGACUCCUACGGGAGGCAGCAGGGGGGAAUCUUCCGCAAUGGACGAAAGUCUGACGGAGCAACGCCGCGUGAGUGAUGACGGCCUUCGGGUUGGAAAGCUCUGUUAAGCGGGACGCGGUACCGGAAGAGAAAGCCACGGCUAACUACGUGCCAGCAGCCGCGGUAAUAC
This 408-nucleotide ribosomal RNA is filed under the name uncultured bacterium. RNAcentral's name for it is "partial 16S ribosomal RNA". It matches the Rfam family "Bacterial small subunit ribosomal RNA", at positions 28 to 526 of the family's 1533-position model. The record is from RNAcentral.